CCAGACAGCCAGGAUGUUGGCUUAGAAGCAGCCAUCAUUUAAAGAAAGCGUAAUAGCUCACUGGUCGAGUCGGCCUGCGCGGAAGAUGUAACGGGGCUAAACCAUGCACCGAAGCUGCGGCAGCGACACUCAGGUGUUGUUGGGUAGGGGAGCGUUCUGUAAGCCUGUGAAGGUGUGCUGUGAGGCAUGCUGGAGGUAUCAGAAGUGCGAAUGCUGACAUAAGUAACGAUAAAGCGGGUGAAAAGCCCGCUCGCCGGAAGACCAA
RNAcentral lists this ribosomal RNA (265 nucleotides) under Salmonella enterica subsp. enterica serovar Muenster. RNAcentral's name for it is "partial 23S ribosomal RNA". It matches the Rfam family "Bacterial large subunit ribosomal RNA", at positions 1085 to 1348 of the family's 2925-position model. Lineage: Bacteria; Pseudomonadati; Pseudomonadota; Gammaproteobacteria; Enterobacterales; Enterobacteriaceae. The record is from RNAcentral.